UAAGUCUAUACUGACAGUAAAUGGGCCUCAUCACCUUUCUCGAGCUGAUGAAAGUGCUCCAGAAAGUGAAAUGGUGGUUCUACACUC
This 87-nucleotide small nucleolar RNA is filed under the name Phascolarctos cinereus (koala). Its description in RNAcentral is "Small nucleolar RNA SNORA68 (ENSPCIG00000016564.2)". It matches the Rfam family "Small nucleolar RNA SNORA68". From Rfam's summary of the family: U68 is a member of the H/ACA class of small nucleolar RNAs (snoRNAs) which act as guides in the the modification of uridines to pseudouridines. The record is from Rfam by way of RNAcentral. Lineage: Eukaryota; Metazoa; Chordata; Mammalia; Diprotodontia; Phascolarctidae.